RNAcentral lists this ribosomal RNA (253 nucleotides) under uncultured Eubacteriales bacterium. Its description in RNAcentral is "uncultured Clostridiales bacterium partial 16S ribosomal RNA". It matches the Rfam family "Bacterial small subunit ribosomal RNA", at positions 524 to 776 of the family's 1533-position model. Lineage: Bacteria; Bacillati; Bacillota; Clostridia; Eubacteriales. The record is from RNAcentral.
UACGUAGGAGGCAAGCGUUAUCCGGAAUGACUGGGCGUAAAGGGUGCGUAGGUGGUUUGAUAAGUUGGUAGCGUAAUUCCGAGGCUCAACCUCGGCGCUACUACCAAAACUGUCGGACUUGAGUGCAGGAGGGGCAAAUGGAAUUCCUAGUGUAGCGGUGAAAUGCGUAGAUAUUAGGAGGAACACCAGUGGCGGAGGCGGCUUACUGGACGGUAACUGACGCUGAUGCGCGAAAGCGUGGGGAGCAAACAGG